RNAcentral lists this ribosomal RNA (901 nucleotides) under uncultured Streptococcus sp. RNAcentral's name for it is "bacterial SSU rRNA". It matches the Rfam family "Bacterial small subunit ribosomal RNA", at positions 28 to 873 of the family's 1533-position model. Lineage: Bacteria; Bacillati; Bacillota; Bacilli; Lactobacillales; Streptococcaceae. The record is from RNAcentral.
GAUGAACGCUGACAGAAUGCUUAACACAUGCAAGUCAACUUGAAUUUGGGUUUUUUAACUUAGGUUUGGGUGGCGGACGGGUGAGUAACGCGUAAAGAACUUGCCUCACAGCUAGGGACAACAUUUGGAAACGAAUGCUAAUACCUGAUAUUAUGAUUUUAAGGCAUCUUAGAAUUAUGAAAGCUAUACGCGCUGUGAGAGAGCUUUGCGUCCCAUUAGCUAGUUGGAGAGGUAACGGCUCACCAAGGCGAUGAUGGGUAGCCGGCCUGAGAGGGUGAACGGCCACAAGGGGACUGAGACACGGCCCUUACUCCUACGGGAGGCAGCAGUGGGGAAUAUUGGACAAUGGACCAAGAGUCUGAUCCAGCAAUUCUGUGUGCACGAUGACGUUUUUCGGAAUGUAAAGUGCUUUCAGUUGGGAAGAAAAAAAUGACGGUACCAACAGAAGAAGUGACGGCUAAAUACGUGCCAGCAGCCGCGGUAAUACGUAUGUCACAAGCGUUAUCCGGAUUUAUUGGGCGUAAAGCGCGUCUAGGUGGUUAUGUAAGUCUGAUGUGAAAAUGCAGGGCUCAACUCUGUAUUGCGUUGGAAAACUGUGUAACUAGAGUACUGGAGAGGUAAGCGGAACUACAAGUGUAGAGGGUGAAAUUCGUAGAUAUUUGUAGGAAUGGACGAUGGGGAAAACCAGCUUACUGGGACAGAUACCGAUGCUGAAGCACGAAAGCAUGGGUAGCAAACAAGGAUAAAAUAACCCAGGUAGUCCAAAGGGGAGUUCCACUCUGUGAAAUAAUGUUGUCGAUAACGGCGAAGGAGAAGGGGGGCGGGGUGCCCGGGCUUUGGAACGAAAAGGGGGUCCUUUCGGGGGGGGGGGCCUUAUCGAUACAUUCUUUUUCCUUUUCUU